Molecule: long non-coding RNA, 3695 nt
Organism: Brassica napus (rape)
Lineage: Eukaryota; Viridiplantae; Streptophyta; Magnoliopsida; Brassicales; Brassicaceae
Exons: 2
Source: RefSeq, a predicted model, not a curated record
GUGUUAUGGUGACUCUGAAACUGGAUAGGUAAUUGUCAUUGAGUCUUUGCUAUAUAUGUUGGCCAUAUAUUAAUUCUGAACGUAUUAUAUGGAUGUUUUUGAUGACAAUUGAUUUUCUGAUAUAUGCAGUGAUGAGACUGUGACUUUAAGCUUCUUCGACUCUCAGGCUGUUGCUUUCCAUAUACAGCUUGAGGCUAUGAGGGUUAAUCCAAAGGUCAUGGUCGUCACUAGCAUAAAUCCCAAGAUUGUCGGAGGUGUUGAAUUAUGUGGUAUCAUUUAAUGUCGUAUCACUUUAGUCUUGACAAAUUUAUUAAUCUACGUAGGUCGUCUGUUUCUUAACGCUACGUCGGGAACACACGUGUAUUUCGAUAAGAAGACUGGAGCAGGGGCUGCUCUAUUCUACAGGUAUGAUUGUCGUUAAUUAAUUUGUGUUUGUGUGUUUGGUUGUUACUUGCCUAAUCAUUAUGCUCUGUGUAGGCUGGCCGCCAGAGAUACUGGUCUGCCGUCGGCCGCUCCACUGCUAAAUUCAUAUGCGAAGGUGGAGAAUAUGACCAUCGCUGACCUCAACAGUUUCAUCGUUUCUGCUGCAUCGCAGGUAUAAUAUCUGUUGGUUUUGUUUUGUAUUAUUUUGUUUGUAGUGUCAGUGUUCGCUUUUCAUGUGAGUCUUGAUUAUAUGUUACAGGAGAUUGAUUUUCUGUGCACUGGGAGAGUUGUCCGGAUUGACACAGAUAAGGGGUGGUGUUAUGUUGCUUGCUCAAAAUGCAGUAAAAAAUUGCAGCGGACUGAGUCUGCAUUCACGUGUGGAGUAUGCAACAAUCCACAAGCUGUUGGGGCCCUACGGUAAGUAUCGCGUCUUAUAUAUGAGGAUUUACACGCCUGCUGGUGACUUGACCUCACCUUUUACCAUCUUCAUAUAGCUAUCGUGUGGAGAUGGCAAUAUCUGAUGAUACUGCGGAAGGAACAUUCGUAUGGUUCGAUGGUGUAUUAACGAAGCUGCAUAGUAUCCGAGCAAGUGAAGCUGCACAGAUGCUGGUAUGAAUCUAGACUUUUUACAUUCGUGAUGUCAAACGCUGAGCGAAAUCUUACUUCUCAUUUUUUUUUUUUUACAAGGCUGAAGACGGUGUGAACCCUGAGGACGCUAGGUUACCCCCGUUCAUUGCAGACAUGGAAGGAAAAACGUACACUUUCCAAGUGAGGGUCACUGCGUUUAACUUUACCGAGCAUCACAAGACAUUCACGAUAACACGUAUUGCUGAGGAUCAUGGUCGUCUGCCAGUAGAUGACGUCGUGAACAAUGUAAGUUACGUGUGUAUCGUGAUGUUCAAGUAGCUCCUUGCUGAUUGCAUAUACGUUUUUACAUAAUGUACAGGGAGAUGAUGACGACGACGAUGGUGAUGAUGCCAGCCCGAACAUCGAGCCAUCAUCUGCUGCAGGUGAUCAAGGUGGAACCAGUAAGGCGCGUAAGAAGACUGGCGCAGGUUCGAACCUCCCCCUCAGAUUAACCCCUACGCCGGGCCACCCGGGCCCACCCUGCUACUUCUGGGGUGGAAAUGACGUGGCUGCUGCGGGCCUCGAGGGAUGUCUGGGCCCCGGCCUGGGACCCUCGGUUAACCGUGGUGAAGAAAAAAAGACUGGCGCAGGUGCGUCAAAGGUGGUGAAGAAAGCACGUGCUGGUUGAGAUAUAUCAACAAUUAAUAAUGUUCAGACUAUCGUUUACGUAAUGUUUAUGCAUGUUUAUUUGACUUCGCAAAUUUGGAUGUUUCUGUUUUGGAUAUUCCCCAUUAUAUGGGCCCUUUAAUUUUAACGGCAUGCAUUUCGGUUCGGUUUUUUAUUAUGAGGUGUUAAUUUCCGGGUAGUCUAAUAUUAUUUAUGUUAACCUUCCGGUUAGUCUAUAGUUAUUUAUAUUAAAUUUUUAUGUUACAUUGUAUGUGUUAAAAAAAUAUAUAUAGUAUUUUCUAUCAUUAGUUACGUAACUAUAUAGUAAGCUUUUGUGUUUCCCAUGCGCGGACAUAUGUCUUUAUAAUGUCGAGUAAAUCAAAAUUAAUAUUUAAAUUGAAUUCACAAAUUUGGAUGUUUCUGUAUUAGUUAGUCCGGUAUUAACUUAGUAUUGUCGUGUUCAUCAUUCUGGUUUAUAUUUUAGGUUCAUUAAUUGUUAUUUAGUUUUGAUUUUUAUACUGGUCUCGGUGCAGAUGUGCCAGGGUCAAAGCCUGAACCAAGUUGCUUUAUAUCUUCCUCGCCCUGUUUUUACUCAUGGUCAGUUGUACGUUGCCAUGUCUCGAGUAACAACUCCGAAUGGGCUUAGGAUUUUAGACGAGACUUCCGAUAUGAACGGUGAAGAUGGAGUUACUAAUAUUGUAUGCAAAGAAAUCUUUAAAGACGUCUAAGUGACCGAGGUUAGAGCUACACAUUUACUUUAUACUUUUUAUAUACCCCAAUCGGUUGGCAUUGACUAACUGUCGUUAUUUUCAUUGCAUAUUGGACGACCCAUUCCUCUCAGUGAUCGGAGAAACUCAGCGUAAGCAUCGAAUUGGACAAGUUCUUCUGCUACACCGAACUUAUUUUUAAAAAUUUUAACAACAGUUUAUUCUCAGGACAUGCAGUCAUUUAGUUGGUGACCUUAUUACACUUACUCAAAACAAUCUGAUUUUUAAAAUUUACUCUAUCCUCUGUUUUGGGUUUAUACACUUAAAAUACUUUUCAAUUAAAAUACUCAAACACAAGUAACAUAUAAGUAUCUAAUAUAUAAAUAUAUAUAUUUCCUCACGAGACAAAGCAACUGGUAUGUUGCAUAGAUCAUCAAACAAUUCACUCCAACGAAACAAUUAAAAUUAAAUUAUUCGAACGGUUUUAGAUUUGUACAACCGAAGCAAUAGCUACUGGUAUUGUCCAGACAUCCAUAUUCCUAAAUUCCAUAAAUCUACCAAUAACUUAACAACAUAUAACAAAAGCCAUACAAACCAUCAAACUCUCAUGCAUUCAUCCUUCCAGCAACAAAAAAACCAUGAGACAUAUGAACAACCAAUGUUAAAUAUACUAAUAUACUUAGCUUCAAGAUCGUAUUAUAAUGCACACCCCGCCCGUAGGGCGGGCCGAUCCUAGUCUUAUUAUAUAAAGAAGAGUGUUUCUCUGAGCAAGACACGUCAUCAAAUAGCUUCUUCUAAAUGCGACACGUGUCACCUAUAUUAAAACCUUACCGUUUCAUUUAAGUUUGUGUGCAACACAUGUGAGCUUCGUUUUGCAUUCAGGCCUAAUGUUUUACUCAAAGGAACAAGUCCGAUAAAAAAAACUUUACGUGUUUUAAAACGCGUCGUUUCAGAUUUUAGGGUUCAACACAUUUCUGAUCUCUGCCGUACGAGAGCUAAUUUCAACGAAAGCGAUGGUUCAUCUUCUUCCUAACAAUCUGAAAAGCAACCAGUUACAGAUGCAUCACCCACAAUCUACCUUCAAUGCGAGCUUCACUCCUGCAAGGCGGUGUAUCUGCUUGUAUAAAAAGAUUGACCCGCCUUUAUCAAGCUUAAGAGACUGAUGACGCAUCUGUGGAUGCUAAAGGAGAGUCAUCCAUUGGAUGGCAAAGUGAAAACCAUGCGUGAUGUACUGAUGUUCUUCCACUUCUUGCUUUUGCCUCUAUCCACAAAAUGAAAUCAAAGUGAGAACUUUUCAGAUUCAUUCACAUACAUGAACAAAAAUCUCAGACC